GGUUGCGAUCAUACCAGCACUAAUGCACCGGAUCCCAUCAGAACUCCGCAGUUAAGCGUGUUUGGGCGAGAGUAGUACUAGGAUGGGUGACCCCCUGGGAAGUCCUUUUUUUUCCGUUU
Molecule: ribosomal RNA, 119 nt
Filed under: Helianthus annuus (common sunflower)
Lineage: Eukaryota; Viridiplantae; Streptophyta; Magnoliopsida; Asterales; Asteraceae
Source: RNAcentral